Long non-coding RNA from Lutra lutra (Eurasian river otter), 1466 nucleotides. RefSeq lists it as uncharacterized. The record is from RefSeq and is a predicted model, not a curated record. NCBI's taxonomy places the organism in Eukaryota, Metazoa, Chordata, Mammalia, Carnivora, Mustelidae. The transcript is spliced from 3 exons.
CAGGAUUCAGUGCAGCCCUGCAGCCGGGCUCUCAGCCUCUCAUCUGCGUACCUCCUGAUGGCGGGCAGCGUGACCCACAGCCCCGAGAAUGACUCUCUAUGACAACAGCUGACAGCCGUGUUGCCAUGACAAAUGCAAGUUGUGUGCCGUUCAAACGCGUUUCUAACAAUCAAGGGAAAUGGCAGAAUCCUUCUGAGAAGUUGAUGUAGAGAUAGCUGGAGGCUCAUGGCGGGGGCAGGAAAGGGUCGUUUCUGGCAUCCCGGGGAGGUCAUGUUGACACAAAACGCAGCCUCAAAGUCCACGCAAGUGUGGGACGUGGAAGCGGGUUUGCAAGGAGACGUCAGGGUCCGGGGAGAGCCUACGACGCGGUCGGUCAAGGAGUCUCCACCAGGGAGAACUGUGCUCUCACCUCUAGUGUGAACCGAGACCCACGAAGCCACAGCAAGUCCCUCCCAGACGCACAGAUUUUAUCUGAAUCCCUGUUCUGGGCGGCUUUGCUUCUGCCUUCAGGGCUGGCUCUCGGUAAAGGCUCCUUGACGGAGAGCGAUACUGUAAUCUCAGAGUAUACCAGGCCCUUUGAGGAAGGGGGUCAAAUCCCAAACACCUUUCAGUCUCAAGACACUUAAUAGAGGCCAACAAAGUAUAUUGCAGAGUAAGACCUGCCGCACUGGGAAGGCAAACACUCCAACAAGCUAGAAGCCGCUUCCAGAAGGCGAGAGACGACUGCCCAGCCAUGUGGAAGUCCUUCCUCCCUCCGGGACCUUGCGGUCUGUGGAUAAGGAACCAGCACAAACAGCAGGUCAGCCGCCUGUGGCCAAGUCUGCACUGGGCUGAGAAUGGUAUUUCUUUCUUGACCAAUGGACAUGGCUCGAACACACUGGCCCCAGAUUAAAACACACAAUUCCUCACCACUUCCCCAGGAGUGAUUUCUGAUCUCAACGCCUCAAAAUCUGCUUUCUAGAAGGACUUUGCCCAAACCUGAGAAAGAUAAACACCUUCACCACACCCCAGCCUGGCUGUCCUAGAAGGAGGCUUGGAAACGCUGUGAAAGGCGUGCGUGGGAGUGCUUUGCGCUGGGACCCCACAGAUGCUCUCCUGCGCUCACGGGCCUGUAUGUCACAGCCAAGUGCUUCCCAGCAAAGUACACGGGGGCUUUGUCUCAUUCUGCAAUGGUCGGCACUGGCCAUGGGGCUAUGGGGGCCACCGCUGUGUUCCUCCCGCUCAAAGAGAACAGCCUGGUGGGGGUGGGGUAGCUUGCCGCCACAAAGAGCCGGCCAGCCCCACCUUGCUUCAGGUGGAAAACACAACUCUCCACAUCCUGGCUGGGCUUUCCGGUCCAGAAUUUCACUAGGAAGGAAGGGAGGGAGGGACAAGAAGGAAGGGGAACAAAGGAAGGCGCUUUCUUCGUAGGACUCUCUUAAUAAAACAAAGCCUGGUCAGAGCACUCCAUGUCUCAUCAGAAAGAC